This 253-nucleotide ribosomal RNA is filed under the name uncultured bacterium. RNAcentral describes it as "partial 16S ribosomal RNA". It matches the Rfam family "Bacterial small subunit ribosomal RNA", at positions 524 to 776 of the family's 1533-position model. The record is from RNAcentral.
GACAGAGGGUGCAAACGUUGUUCGGAAUUACUGGGCGUAAAGCGCGUGUAGGCUGCUUGGAAAGUCGGGUGUGAAAGCCCUGAGCUCAACUCAGGAAGUGCACUCGAAACUUCCAAGCUCGAGUCCUGGAGAGGGUGGCGGAAUUCUCGGUGUAGAGGUGAAAUUCGUAGAUAUCGGGAAGAACACCCGUGGCGAAGGCGGCUCUCUGGGACGGUACUGACGCUGAGACGCGAAAGCGUGGGGAGCGAACAGG